AUUGAACGCUGGCGGCAUGCUUUACACAUGCAAGUCGAACGGCAGCGCGGGGGCAACCCUGGCGGCGAGUGGCGAACGGGUGAGUAAUGUAUCGGAACGUAUCCUGUAAUGGGGGAUAACCAGUCGAAAGAUUGGGUAAUACCGCAUACGCACGAGAGUGGAAAGUAGGGGAUCGCAAGACCUUACGUUAUAGGAGCGGCCGAUAUCUGAUUAGCUAGUUGGUGGGGUAAAGGCCUACCAAGGCGACGAUCAGUAGCUGGUCUGAGAGGACGACCAGCCACACUGGGACUGAGACACGGCCCAGACUCCUACGGGAGGCAGCAGUGGGGAAUAUUGCACAAUGGGGGAAACCCUGAUGCAGCGAUGCCGCGUGGAGGAAGAAGGUUUUCGGAUUGUAAACUCCUGUCUUAAAGGACGAUAAUGACGGUACUUUAGGAGGAAGCUCCGGCUAACUACGUG
RNAcentral lists this ribosomal RNA (459 nucleotides) under uncultured bacterium. Its description in RNAcentral is "bacterial SSU rRNA". It matches the Rfam family "Bacterial small subunit ribosomal RNA", at positions 30 to 507 of the family's 1533-position model. The record is from RNAcentral.